UUCAUUGAUGACGAUGAGAUGGCCCACUAUAUACUUACUGAUGUUGAUUACGAUUACAAUCCUUUCAUAUCAUCUAUCAUGGGCCGUGUUGGGUCAAUUUUCUUGAGUGAGCUGUACACCCAGUUGUUGUCCUAUGAUC
This 139-nucleotide small nucleolar RNA is filed under the name Setaria italica (foxtail millet). Its description in RNAcentral is "Small nucleolar RNA Z247". It matches the Rfam family "Small nucleolar RNA Z247". From Rfam's summary of the family: Z247 is a member of the C/D class of snoRNA which contain the C (UGAUGA) and D (CUGA) box motifs. Most of the members of the box C/D family function in directing site-specific 2'-O-methylation of substrate RNAs. The record is from Rfam by way of RNAcentral. Lineage: Eukaryota; Viridiplantae; Streptophyta; Magnoliopsida; Poales; Poaceae.